UUCCAAGGAUGAACAAGGUUUUACAAAUAAUCAGUUCUGCUUCUGAAUAAAUCUUGAAGAAACUGUUACCAAGCUUACCAAUUGUCUGAUCU
This 92-nucleotide small nucleolar RNA is filed under the name Exophiala dermatitidis NIH/UT8656. Lineage: Eukaryota; Fungi; Ascomycota; Eurotiomycetes; Chaetothyriales; Herpotrichiellaceae. The record is from RNAcentral.